GACGUAGGUGGCGAACGUUAUCCGGAAUUACUGGGCGUAAAGCGCGCGCAGGCGGCUAUCCAAGUCAGUGGUGAAAGCCCGGAGCUCAACUCCGGAACUGCCAUUGAAACUGUUUAGCUUGAGGAUGAGAGAGGUGAGUGGAAUUCCCAGUGUAGAGGUGAAAUUCGUAGAUAUUGGGAAGAACACCGGUGGCGAAGGCGGCUCACUGGCUCAUUACUGACGCUCAGGCGCGAUAGCGUGGGGAUCAAACAGG
This 253-nucleotide ribosomal RNA is filed under the name uncultured bacterium. RNAcentral describes it as "partial 16S ribosomal RNA". It matches the Rfam family "Bacterial small subunit ribosomal RNA", at positions 524 to 776 of the family's 1533-position model. The record is from RNAcentral.